Long non-coding RNA from Mus musculus (house mouse), 747 nucleotides. RefSeq annotates it as predicted gene, 51503. The record is from RefSeq and is a predicted model, not a curated record. NCBI's taxonomy places the organism in Eukaryota, Metazoa, Chordata, Mammalia, Rodentia, Muridae. The transcript is spliced from 3 exons.
UUGCCCAAAUAGCCUUUUCCUUCUUUCUUGAGUUGCCUUAUUCAGGUAUUUUGUUACAGCAAUGAGGAAGACAAUGAAUAUAAGUUGUAAAGAUUCCAAUUCCACAGGAAAAGGCUUCAGUUUGGAGGAGCAUUCGUUGCCUUCCUGGGCCUUCUCAAUGUCCCUUUCCUGUGGCCUGUCACCUUAACAUUCUGCAGGCUCUGUAGGGACAGAAUCUUGUUUCUUUUGAAUGAUGCUUUUUUUUACUGGACUCUCCGAGCAUGUUUGAAGGACUGCUGUGUAUGGCCCUAUGUCCCUGACCCAGCUGACUUCGUUCGAUCUGAGGAUUAUUUUCACAUUAGGGAAAUGAUCUGGAAACAUCUGGAAACCAGAACAGGUGACCAUGGUUCCCCAUGGGUUACAGCUUUAUCCAAUUGCUUCUAGAAAGAAGGCCCUGGCACACCUGAGGCUCUGUGUGGUCAAAUCCAGAGAGAGGAAUGAGAGCACAGAGGCCAAGAGAAAUGAAUGGACCAAAGGAUUUUAAACAACAGUGGAUAUCCUUGCCCACUGGACAGUACCCUUCUGUAUUCCUGUGGUGAUGUAUGUAGAACUCAAUAACCUGGCAGACCAUAAUCACACAAUAAACAUUGACUAGUUAGUUGAAGUCUGCAAGAAGAUUACUGAAUGAAGGGACUUUGGAAAGGAACCACACCCCAGCCCUCCCGUGAGCACUGGCCAUCGAACUUUGUCGUAUUCCAUUUCACAUAC